Molecule: ribosomal RNA, 492 nt
Filed under: uncultured bacterium
Lineage: Bacteria
Description: partial 16S ribosomal RNA
Rfam family: Bacterial small subunit ribosomal RNA
Source: RNAcentral
AGUGAACGCUGGCGGUAGGCCUAACACAUGCAAGUCGAACGGCAGCACAGUAAGAGCUUGCUCUUACGGGUGGCGAGUGGCGGACGGGUGAGGAGUACAUCGGAAUCUACUUUUUCGUGGGGGAUAACGUAGGGAAACUUACGCUAAUACCGCAUACGACCUACGGGUGAAAGCAGGGGAUCUUCGGACCUUGCGCGAUUGAAUGAGCCGAUGUCGGAUUAGCUAGUUGGCGGGGUAAAGGCCCACCAAGGCGACGAUCCGUAGCUGGUCUGAGAGGAUGAUCACCCACACUGGAACUGGGCCACGGUCCAGACUCCUACGGGAGGCAGCAGUGGGGAACAUUGGACAAUGGGCGCAAGCCUGAUCCAGCCAGACCGCGUGGGUGAAGAAGGCCUUCGGGUUGUAAAGCCCUUUUGUUGGGAAAGAAAAGCAGCAGGUUAAUACCCCGCUGUUCUGACGGUACCCAAAGAAUAAGCACCGGCUAACUUCGUG